Molecule: ribosomal RNA, 875 nt
Filed under: Nocardiopsis sp. BPSEAC36
Lineage: Bacteria; Bacillati; Actinomycetota; Actinomycetes; Streptosporangiales; Nocardiopsidaceae
Description: bacterial SSU rRNA
Rfam family: Bacterial small subunit ribosomal RNA
Source: RNAcentral
GUCGAGCGGUAGGCCCUUCGGGGUACACGAGCGGCGAACGGGUGAGUAACACGUGAGCAACCUGCCCCUGACUCUGGGAUAAGCGGUGGAAACGCCGUCUAAUACCGGAUACGACCCACCACCUCAUGGUGGAGGGUGGAAAGUUUUAUCGGUCAGGGAUGGGCUCGCGGCCUAUCAGCUUGUUGGUGGGGUAACGGCCUACCAAGGCGAUUACGGGUAGCCGGCCUGAGAGGGCGACCGGCCACACUGGGACUGAGACACGGCCCAGACUCCUGCGGGAGGCAGCAGUGGGGAAUAUUGCACAAUGGGCGAAAGCCUGAUGCAGCGACGCCGCGUGGGGGAUGACGGCCUUCGGGUUGUAAACCUCUUUUACCACCAACGCAGGCUCCACGUUCUCGUGGGGUUGACGGUAGGUGGGGAAUAAGGACCGGCUAACUACGUGCCAGCAGCCGCGGUAAUACGUAGGGUCCGAGCGUUGUCCGGAAUUAUUGGGCGUAAAGAGCUCGUAGGCGGCAUGUCGCGUCUGCUGUGAAAGACCGGGGCUUAACUCCGGUUCUGCAGUGGAUACGGGCAUGCUAGAGGUAGGUAGGGGAGACUGGAAUUCCUGGUGUAGCGGUGAAAUGCGCAGAUAUCAGGAGGAACACCGGUGGCGAAGGCGGGUCUCUGGGCCUUACCUGACGCUGAGGAGCGAAAGCAUGGGGAGCGAACAGGAUUAGAUACCCUGGUAGUCCAUGCCGUAAACGUUGGGCGCUAGGUGUGGGGACUUUCCACGGUUUCCGCGCCGUAGCUAACGCAUUAAGCGCCCCGCCUGGGGAGUACGGCCGCAAGGCUAAAACUCAAAGGAAUUGACGGGGGCCCGCACAAGCGGCGGAGCA